UCAGAACGAACGCUGGCGGCAGGCUUAACACAUGCAAGUCGAGCGCCCCGCAAGGGGAGCGGCAGACGGGUGAGUAACGCGUGGGAAUCUACCCUUUUCUACGGAAUAACGCAGGGAAACUUGUGCUAAUACCGUAUGUGUCCUUCGGGAGAAAGAUUUAUCGGGAAAGGAUGAGCCCGCGUUGGAUUAGCUAGUUGGUGGGGUAAAGGCCUACCAAGGCGACGAUCCAUAGCUGGUCUGAGAGGAUGAUCAGCCACWUUGGGACUGAGACWCGGCCCRAACUCCUACGGGAGGCWGCWGUGGGGAAUAUUGGACKAUGGGCGCWAGCYUGAUCCAGCCWUGCCGCGUGAGUGAUGAAGGCCCUAGGGUUGUAAAGCUUCUUUCACCGGAGAAGAUAAU
RNAcentral lists this ribosomal RNA (399 nucleotides) under Rhizobium sp. R-45835=2079T1. Its description in RNAcentral is "partial 16S ribosomal RNA". It matches the Rfam family "Bacterial small subunit ribosomal RNA", at positions 24 to 452 of the family's 1533-position model. The record is from RNAcentral. Lineage: Bacteria; Pseudomonadati; Pseudomonadota; Alphaproteobacteria; Hyphomicrobiales; Rhizobiaceae.